This 432-nucleotide ribosomal RNA is filed under the name uncultured bacterium. Its description in RNAcentral is "partial 16S ribosomal RNA". It matches the Rfam family "Bacterial small subunit ribosomal RNA", at positions 338 to 795 of the family's 1533-position model. The record is from RNAcentral.
CCUACGGGAGGCAGCAGUGGGGAAUAUUGCACAAUGGGCGCAAGCCUGAUGCAGCGACGCCGCGUGAGGGAUGACGGCCUUCGGGUUGUAAACCUCUUUCACCAGGGACGCGGUACCUGGAGAAGAAGCACCGGCCAACUACGUGCCAGCAGCCGCGGUAAUACGUAGGGUGCGAGCGUUGUCCGGAAUUACUGGGCGUAAAGAGUUCGUAGGCGGUUUGUCGCGUCGUUCGUGAAAACUUGGGGCUUAACUCCAAGCGUGCGGGCGAUACGGGCAGACUUGAGUACUACAGGGGAGACUGGAAUUCCUGGUGUAGCGGUGAAAUGCGCAGAUAUCAGGAGGAACACCGGUGGCGAAGGCGGGUCUCUGGGUAGUACUGACGCUGAGGAACGAAAGCGUGGGUAGCGAACAGGAUUAGAUACCCUUGUAGUC